Molecule: unclassified non-coding RNA, 265 nt
Filed under: uncultured Venturiales
Lineage: Eukaryota; Fungi; Ascomycota; Dothideomycetes
Description: sequence contains 5.8S rRNA gene, ITS2, 28S rRNA gene
Source: RNAcentral
AACGCACAUUGCGCCUCUCGGUAUUCCGGGAGGCACGCCUGUUCGAGCGCCAUUACACACUCCAAGCUCUGCUUGAUGUUGGACACUGCGCGACCCUGUGGGUCGCACAUGUCUGGAACGUGUAGGCGCCUACCGCCGAACCACGAGCGUAGCAAGGCAUUUCUGUCAUUCGCUUUGUUGGAAUUGGAUGGUAGGCAGCCCGACUUUGUAGUCAACCAUUAUCGAGUUUGGCCUCGGAUCAGGCGGGGAUACCCGCUGAACUUAA